AACGAACGCUGGCGGCAGGCCUAACACAUGCAAGUCGAGCGAAGUCUUCGGACUUAGCGGCGAACGGGUGAGUAACGCGUGGGAAUGUACCUCUAGGUGCGGAACAACAACUGGAAACGGUUGCUAAUACCGCAUGAUGUCUUCGGACCAAAGAUUUAUCGCCUAGAGAUCGGCCCGCGUUGGAUUAGGUAGUUGGUGAGGUCAAAGCUCACCAAGCCGACGAUCCAUAGCUGGUUUGAGAGGAUGAUCAGCCACACUGGGACUGAGACACGGCCCAGACUCCUACGGGAGGCAGCAGUGGGGAAUCUUGGACAAUGGGGGAAACCCUGAUCCAGCCAUGCCGCGUGAACGAUGAAGGCCUUAGGGUUGUAAAGUUCUUUCACCGGUGACGAUAAUGACGGUAGCCGGAGAAGAAGCCCCGGCUAACUCCGUGCCAGCAGCCGCGGUAA
Molecule: ribosomal RNA, 449 nt
Filed under: uncultured bacterium
Lineage: Bacteria
Description: bacterial SSU rRNA
Rfam family: Bacterial small subunit ribosomal RNA
Source: RNAcentral